RNAcentral lists this long non-coding RNA (1475 nucleotides) under Gadus morhua (Atlantic cod). RNAcentral describes it as "lncRNA (ENSGMOG00000026320.1)". The record is from RNAcentral. Lineage: Eukaryota; Metazoa; Chordata; Actinopteri; Gadiformes; Gadidae.
AUGCUGAUUGCUGAGGGAACCGUUGUCCCAGUUGAGUUACUUACAAUGGCGCAGUUCAAGUUCGGGAUGUUUUAUUUGAAGGACAACACAAUUCACGUCGAAAGUACUGAGAUUGUGGCACCUCAGUACAGACAGAAGCUCGUUCAGAUAUUAAAACGGCCGGACCUCUACAGUGAAGACGGAUGGAUACAAGUGUGCUGGGGAACCAGGAAAGCAUCUACAAACAAUGUGGCCGCAAAACUGCUCUUACUCGGAGACAACUACAAGGAGUUGAUGGGGAAAAAAGAAGCCUUCCUCAAGGAUGAGGACAUCUGGCACAUGGCAGUUGCAAGAAGGACCACACCUUGUACCACAACACAUGAUGGAAGCAAACCAAAGAAAAAAAGAAUUACGGCAACUUCCAGUCUCACUUCAGAUGAUGAUGAAACACAGAUUGACCCAUCACGAGUUCUUCAAACAAAUAAGCCGAAGAUGACAAAGGCUGCAAGAGACCGAGCCCUUUCCCAACUGAAAUCCUCGCUGCUGAGAAGAAAGCAAACAACCUCCACCCCCUUGACAAAUGAAGACGAUACAGACAUAGACACCAAUGUGGACUUAUUUGACCCACCUCAGGCUUCGGGAUCAACUGACCUCUCCCAAGGGGAAAGUGAAGAGGAGAGUGUCCUGAUGGAUCAGCCCAGAUCCAGUGUUGGCAUGCAACAGGAAGUGAUGGAUGCUCUGAAAGAAAUACCAGCCUUAGUCAAGUGUGUCAAAGAUGUUAUUGCAACCAUGAAGAGAAUUCAACAUGUCAUGGACACUGACAGUACAUGUUCUGGUUCUUCCAGUCCAGCUCCAGAAAUGAUUUCCCUUGGCAACAAGGGGGUGCAGGUCAGCAAAACCUGUUUCAGAAGACUCAACCGAACAAGAAUGUCCCUGUUCACACAGGACUUAGCUGUGCUCCUCUUUGGGCGGGAUGUUUUGGCAUCCUCGACUCUCACAGGAAAACCAGGGCUUACUGGAACAGCGAAAGAGCAGCUAAAUCCGGAAAAGCUGAGUGCCCUUGUUGAUACAGUUAUUGCUGAAUUUCCAGGAACAAAUGUGUCUGAUGUGAGGGCAGUGAUUCGGAGAAAAUGUAACAAUGAGAAUUUUGUGAGCAAAAAGAAACAGUAAGCAGUAAAUCAGUAACUGUUUGUAAUAAUUUCUUGUUUGUUUUUUCUUUGGUGGACAUACAUUUUGAGUUUAAACAAACUGUGAAUGUUUCACAUGUAAAAGUUUCAACAGUCAGUUUAAUGUUUAAUGUUUUUUAAUGUUUUCAAAAGUCAGUUUCAGUUUAAUGUUCAUCCCUGUCAUUACUAGCAAUGGUACGAUGAAGAGAAACAGUUUGAUUCUGUAUUUUGUACCCUGUCAUGCCGUGCAUGUUAAAAAUAAACUUUAUUUCUACCUGAAGUAUGUUCUAAAUAUCUUUUAUGUUUACUUAAAAGUAAUUUGAAAUUCAA